Molecule: long non-coding RNA, 1064 nt
Filed under: Junco hyemalis (dark-eyed junco)
Lineage: Eukaryota; Metazoa; Chordata; Aves; Passeriformes; Passerellidae
Description: lncRNA (ENSJHYG00000001734.1)
Source: RNAcentral
AAAAUCAGCCUGUAACCAUCUUGCCCAGGAGCUCGUGUUCUCAAGAAGUGGCUAAUAUGGGUACCCUACACCAAAAGAAGGAGGAAACCAAUGUCAGACAGCUACUUUUUUGCCAGCAAGAUACUUCUUCUAGUGUCUUUUUAACUGCUUUCACAUGAAUCAUAUGAAAGCAGGUGUGGAAAUGUGCUCCAGAGUAAUAUGAGUCAGGUGAAUGGGAUGAGGGUGUUUACACCUUCCUGCUUCUCACCCUAUCAAAUGAGAUCUUGGAGUUCAGCAAUAAAGCAAAUGCCCCAUGGAGCAGGUAGGAGAGUCAGCAGAAGGAAGGUGAGAUAAAAAGUCAGAAUAUAGCUGGUGUUAGGAGGGAGAAGGACCAGGAAGCUCAUGGCUUUCCUGGUGUUUGCUGGAUUUAGCAUCUCGCUGCUUCACAGUAAGUGGCCACCUCCACUUCCUCAGUUAAAAAAAGCUAGAGAAUCUCACAGAAGUUUUAUUUGUGUCCUUCCUGUUGGGCUUUUAGGAAGGAGACCUCAGCCUGGGUGUAGCUGGGCACUGGCAUUUAACAGGCCCAGAUGGAGUGCAAAUGACUCAGGUAUGGAGCUGCGAUUUGCCUUUCUCAACGUGCUAGGACUCUUUUGGAUUCAAGUUCUUGUGCACAGGUGGUCCUGCACUGCACAGCUGGAACCGCUGCAAGAAAGACCUAUGUAUGUACAAAGCACGUGUUCUUUGGACAAUGCAUUAAUUCACUAAAAAGCGGACAGAUACAUUUCUUUUGGAUAGGUUUUUGGAUUUUCUGAUUUAGGGUAUUUGUGUUUUCUUUUGCUUCAUGUCUUUUUAAAGAAGUAAAUAGACUAAAAAUCAUAUAUGUUAAACAUGAUAGACCUGAGCUACUUUUUUCAGCUGGAACUGAAUAUAACAACAGUUUUAAAGCAGAAUGCUGUAUUUUGACCUGUUAAAAUUACAUGUAUCAUUUACAUGAAUCUGAAUUGGAGAAACUAUGUAUUUUAUUUAUAUAACCACUUUUUAUAAAAUCACCCAUAUGAACAGAAAUGUAUCUGUCAACGACGCAA